UUUCUGUUCUACCCUCUACAUGCCCUCUCCUAUUCCCUCCUCCUCAUUCUAGGGAGGGGAGAGGGGCUGGAGACUGAGUUCACCCACCAAUGGCCAAUGAUUUAAUCAAUCAUGUCUACAUAAAGAAGUCUCCACAAAAACCCUAACUGACGGAAUUCAGAGAGCUUCUAGAUUGGUGCAUGACCUUAUGAUGGGCUCAUCACAAGAGUGACUGCAGCUGAAGACGCCAGAGUUCUACCAGCAGAACUCUUCUCACAAUCUUGACUUUGGCCACGUAGUUCUGGACCUUAAGAUCAAAGCAGAGGGAGGCCAGAGGAAGUGACUCAUUUCUGCUUGAAGCAAGUUGCAAGUUUCUAAUGAGGAAAGGCAAGAUGCACAUCUCCCUUCUCUGGUCAAUCACUAGAUGUGGUCUCUCACUGGCAACAUUAGCAGUGGACUUUGUAUGAUCACAGGCCAUGAUGAAGAAAACAACACAAUAUUAAACCAAGCACAAGAGAAAAUGAUGCAAUCAAGAGAUACAGUAAACACAGGAUGUAUGAGGCUGCUGCCGACAUACACAGCAUACUGCUUUAAAGUAAAUUUUUUUAAUUGACGCAAGAGUUGAGAGAGAAGUCUGAAUAGCCCUUCUAUUUGGCUGCCGCAAAUUUCUGAGAAUAAUGGACUUUCUUCUCUUCUGCCUUCCAAAUCACUCAAGCUCUUCUCGUUGGCAAUCUCCAACCAUACAGAGAAAGGAAGCCAUAUAAAAUCCAUUCAAGGAGAGAUAUUCUGGGAAAUGUAGGGGUUUGGUUUGGGGUUUUUGGGGUUUUUUUUUUGCAUAGGGGAGAAAUUAAUUUGUACUCUUCUUACAAUUGUUUUCUAAGUUGGAAAUCAUUGUAAAAUAAAAAGUUUAAG
Molecule: long non-coding RNA, 891 nt
Filed under: Equus caballus (horse)
Lineage: Eukaryota; Metazoa; Chordata; Mammalia; Perissodactyla; Equidae
Description: lncRNA (ENSECAG00000058186.1)
Source: RNAcentral